This 507-nucleotide ribosomal RNA is filed under the name uncultured bacterium. Its description in RNAcentral is "bacterial SSU rRNA". It matches the Rfam family "Bacterial small subunit ribosomal RNA", at positions 17 to 518 of the family's 1533-position model. The record is from RNAcentral.
UUCUGGCUCAGGAUAAACGCUGGCGGCGUGCCUAAUACAUGCAAGUCGAACGGAGAGAGACAAGCUUGCUGUCGAACUUAGUGGCGAACGGGUGAGUAAUACAUAAGCAACCUGCCCAUAAAGUCCGGGAUAACUUUGGGAAACUGGAAUUAAUACCGGAUAGGUAACGAGAACGCAUGUUCGUGUUAUUAAAGGUGAGAAACGCUAAUGGAUGGGCUUAUGGCGCAUUAGCUAGUUGGUAAGGUAACGGCUUACCAAGGCGAUGAUGCGUAGCCGGCCUGAGAGGGUGAACGGCCACAUUGGGACUGAGACACGGCCCAGACUCCUACGGGAGGCAGCAGUAGGGAAUUUUCGGCAAUGGGCGAAAGCCUGACCGAGCAACGCCGCGUGAGUGCCUAAGGAUUUCGGUCUGUAAAGCUCUGUUGUAAGGGAAGAAUUGAUCAGAGAGGAUCUGAUAGUGACGGUACCUUACCAGAAAGCCACGGCUAACUACGUGCCAGCCGCUGC